UACGUAGGGGGCAAGCGUUGUCCGGAUUUAUUGGGCGUAAAGAGCGUGUAGGCGGCUUCACAGGUCCGCUGUGAAAACUCGAGGCUCAACCUCGAGCUGUCGGUGGAAACCGUGUGGCUAGAGUCCGGAAGAGGAGAGUGGAAUUCCCGGUGUAGCGGUGAAAUGCGCAGAUAUCGGGAAGAACACCCGUGGCGAAGGCGGCUCUCUGGGACGGUACUGACGCUGAGACGCGAAAGCUAGGGGAGCGAACGGG
This 253-nucleotide ribosomal RNA is filed under the name uncultured bacterium. Its description in RNAcentral is "partial 16S ribosomal RNA". It matches the Rfam family "Bacterial small subunit ribosomal RNA", at positions 524 to 776 of the family's 1533-position model. The record is from RNAcentral.